GACAGAGGGUGCAAAUGUUAAUCGGAAUUACUGGGCGUAAAGGGCGCGUAGGCGGCCACCGCAAGUCGACUGUGAAAUCUCCGGGCUUAACCCGGAAAGGUCAGCCGAUACUGCGGGGCUAGAGUGCAGAAGGGGCAACUGGAAUUCUCGGUGUAGCGGUGAAAUGCGUAGAUAUCGAGAGGAACACCUGCGGCGAAGGCGGGUUGCUGGGCUGACACUGACGCUGACAGCGCGAAAGCUAGGGGAGCGAACGGG
Molecule: ribosomal RNA, 255 nt
Filed under: uncultured bacterium
Lineage: Bacteria
Description: partial 16S ribosomal RNA
Rfam family: Bacterial small subunit ribosomal RNA
Source: RNAcentral